Bombus impatiens (common eastern bumble bee) is the source of this 968-nucleotide long non-coding RNA. RefSeq lists it as uncharacterized. The transcript has 2 exons. The record is from RefSeq and is a predicted model, not a curated record. Lineage: Eukaryota; Metazoa; Arthropoda; Insecta; Hymenoptera; Apidae.
AAAAAAAAAAACCGGAUACAAGGAUAAAAUAAGAAGAAACCAUCGAUGAUAGUCGAAGUUAGCGAAUCACGAUUGAAACAUAGUAGGAGGAACGAAACAUCGGAUGUUCCUCGAGAUGAGAACGCGAGGAGCACACCGAAGGACGAGAGGACAACCGAGGCGAAUACGCGAAAUUUAUGAGACUUUCAGAGAGUAAACUGCGAACUGCGGCGAUUUCCGACAAAUUCCUUCAUCGAACACCUGUGUCCCACAUUCGGAUUCCAUGUUGGACGCGUCGUGGCAAUGCGUUGUUAUCUGUAUCAGCCUGUUGCGUGUGUCAACGAAGAGCACGAUAGAAGAAAAGAUAGAAGGAGAAACGAUAAGAACAAUGCUUUGUUAAUUUUCUUUAUCGUUUAUCUAUUAGGCGUCGGGUAAUUUUUACGUAUUCAAUUAGCUUCAUUGUCGUAAUCCACGCGCAUAGUACUUCAAGUAAUAAAGGAACAUUGUAUUUAACGUUUACGUUCCUUUAAAUUGUUUGAAAGUAUUGUAAGUCCAAAGAAAACGUUCAUUUUCAUACUAGAUUACGUGACUCGCAGAAAAAUCUACUUAUAGCUUUAGCGCAUAAUCGAUCUACUACCUUUGAAUAAUAUAUUAUAAGUGAUUUUUUUAGGUCGUGAAUUAUUCAAAAAGUUACGAUAGCUGUAGCGUAACGAAUUGCAUAUCAGAUGUUCUUAAUGGAUUACUAUCACAAACAAUACAUUUGCUCAUCAUUACGCUACCUCUACAUGACUCAUCAACUGUUCGUUAGAAUACUUUGCACAGUGAAUUAAGACUCGAGAGAUCGAAAUCUGUUGCUCUGAGCCUCCUCCUUGUCCGUUGUGUUUCAUUUAAACUCUCUUCAAGAUCAAUUCAGCUGGUUAUUUCGAACGUAACAAACGCAUUUUUGACUGCGCGACAAAAAAAAAAAAAAAAAAAAGAAAAAGAGAAAA